The sequence is a ribosomal RNA, 1162 nucleotides long. It matches the Rfam family "Bacterial small subunit ribosomal RNA", at positions 292 to 1468 of the family's 1533-position model.
CUGAAGAGUUCCCCGCCCACACGGGGAUGAAACACGGCCCAGAUUCUUCGGGAGGCAGCAGUGGGAAUAUUGCACAAUGGGCCCAAGCCUGAUGCAGCGACGCCGCUUGAGGGAUGACGGCCUUCGGGUUGUAAACCUCUUUCAGUAGGGAAGAAGCGAAAGUGACGGUACCUGCAGAAGAAGCACCGGCUAACUACGUGCCAGCAGCCGCGGUAAUACGUAGGGUGCGAGCGUUAUCCGGAAUUAUUGGGCGUAAAGAGCUCGUAGGCGGUUUGUCGCGUCUGUCGUGAAAGUCCGGGGCUUAACCCCGGAUCUGCGGUGGGUACGGGCAGACUAGAGUGCAGUAGGGGAGACUGGAAUUCCUGGUGUAGCGGUGGAAUGCGCAGAUAUCAGGAGGAACACCGAUGGCGAAGGCAGGUCUCUGGGCUGUAACUGACGCUGAGGAGCGAAAGCAUGGGGAGCGAACAGGAUUAGAUACCCUGGUAGUCCAUGCCGUAAACGUUGGGCACUAGGUGUGGGGACCAUUCCACGGUUUCCGCGCCGCAGCUAACGCAUUAAGUGCCCCGCCUGGGGAGUACGGCCGCAAGGCUAAAACUCAAAGGAAUUGACGGGGGCCCGCACAAGCGGCGGAGCAUGCGGAUUAAUUCGAUGCAACGCGAAGAACCUUACCAAGGCUUGACAUGUUCUCGAUCGCCGUAGAGAUACGGUUUCCCCUUUGGGGCGGGUUCACAGGUGGUGCAUGGUUGUCGUCAGCUCGUGUCGUGAGAUGUUGGGUUAAGUCCCGCAACGAGCGCAACCCUCGUUCCAUGUUGCCAGCACGUAAUGGUGGGGACUCAUGGGAGACUGCCGGGGUCAACUCGGAGGAAGGUGAGGACGACGUCAAAUCAUCAUGCCCCUUAUGUCUUGGGCUUCACGCAUGCUACAAUGGCCGGUACAAUGGGUUGCGAUACUGUGAGGUGGAGCUAAUCCCAAAAAGCCGGUCUCAGUUCGGAUUGGGGUCUGCAACUCGACCCCAUGAAGUCGGAGUCGCUAGUAAUCGCAGAUCAGCAACGCUGCGGUGAAUACGUUCCCGGGCCUUGUACACACCGCCCGUCAAGUCACGAAAGUUGGUAACACCCGAAGCCGGCUAGCAGUAACGAUCCUUGUGGUCGAUGUGAGAGAC